CUCGUCGCCAGCGCCUCCUCCAAGGAUGGGGAGAUGGAGCUGCCCCCCGCGGAGUCGUGCGCCCUCGACGAUGAGGAGGAGGAGGACGUGUUGGUGUCCCGCCCCCGGGGGCUGUUGGGACGCCUCAGGAGGGACAAGACGGGCGACAGCAGCGCCAUGACGCCGCUGUCGUUCCCGCGUCGCAACCCCGGCGAAACGACUGCCUGAGAGGGAGGGCACCGCCCCCCUCAGGAGGAGCCCCUGCUCCCCUCUUCUACCCUCACCCCCUACGAGGGUUACGAGUGGGAUCAUCUUCCCCAAAUCCCCAACCCGGGGGGAGAGGAACCAGUUUUUGUCUGAUGGGGUUAAUGCCCUCGAUUUUUUCAACUGUAAACUGGGAUUUCUUCUUGUUCUUAUUUUUUCAGUAUUAUAUUAUAGGCCA
Long non-coding RNA from Hyalella azteca, 421 nucleotides. RefSeq lists it as uncharacterized. The record is from RefSeq and is a predicted model, not a curated record. The transcript has 3 exons. NCBI's taxonomy places the organism in Eukaryota, Metazoa, Arthropoda, Malacostraca, Amphipoda, Hyalellidae.